AGCGAACGCUGGCGGCAGGCUUAACACAUGCAAGUCGAGCGGGCAUCUUCGGAUGUCAGCGGCAGACGGGUGAGUAACACGUGGGAACGUACCCUUCGGUUCGGAACAACUCUGGGAAACUGGAGCUAAUACCGGAUACGCCCUUAUGGGGAAAGGUUUACUGCCGAAGGAUCGGCCGGCGUCUGAUUAGCUUGUUGGUGGGGUAACGGCCUACCAAGGCGACGAUCAGUAGCUGGUCUGAGAGGAUGAUCAGCCACACUGGGACUGAGACACGGCACAGACUCCUACGGGAGGCGGCAGUGGGGAAUAUUGGACAAUGGGCGCAAGCCUGAUCCAGCCAUGCCGCGUGAGUGAUGAAGGCCUUAGGGUUGUAAAGCUCUUUUGUCCGGGACGAUAAUGACGGUACCGGAAGAAUAAGCCCCGGCUAACUUCGUG
This 435-nucleotide ribosomal RNA is filed under the name uncultured bacterium. Its description in RNAcentral is "partial 16S ribosomal RNA". It matches the Rfam family "Bacterial small subunit ribosomal RNA", at positions 29 to 507 of the family's 1533-position model. The record is from RNAcentral.